Molecule: ribosomal RNA, 800 nt
Filed under: bacterium
Lineage: Bacteria
Description: bacterial SSU rRNA
Rfam family: Bacterial small subunit ribosomal RNA
Source: RNAcentral
CGCGUAUGCAACCUACCUUCAUCUGGGGGAUAGCCCGGAGAAAUCCGGAUUAAUACCGCAUAAAAUCACAGGAUGGCAUUAUCCAAUGAUCAAACAUUUAUGGGAUGGAGAUGGGCAUGCGUGUCAUUAGCUAGUUGGCGGGGUAACGGCCCACCAAGGCGACGAUGACUAGGGGAUCUGAGAGGAUGGCCCCCCACACUGGUACUGAGACACGGACCAGACUCCUACGGGAGGCAGCAGUAAGGAAUAUUGGUCAAUGGAGGCAACUCUGAACCAGCCAUGCCGCGUGCAGGAAGACUGCCCUAUGGGUUGUAAACUGCUUUUAUUCGGGAAUAAACCUUAUUACGUGUAAUAAGCUGAAUGUACCGAAGGAAUAAGGAUCGGCUAACUCCGUGCCAGCAGCCGCGGUAAUACGGAGGAUCCAAGCGUUAUCCGGAUUUAUUGGGUUUAAAGGGUGCGUAGGCGGCCUGUUAAGUCAGGGGUGAAAGACGGUAGCUCAACUAUCGCAGUGCCCUUGAUACUGAUGGGCUUGAAUGGACUAGAGGUAGGCGGAAUGAGACAAGUAGCGGUGAAAUGCAUAGAUAUGUCUCAGAACACCGAUUGCGAAGGCAGCUUACUAUGGUCUUAUUGACGCUGAGGCACGAAAGCGUGGGGAUCAAACAGGAUUAGAUACCCUGGUAGUCCACGCCCUAAACGAUGAACACUCGCUGUUGGCGAUACACAGUCAGCGGCUAAGCGAAAGCGUUAAGUGUUCCACCUGGGGAGUACGCUCGCAAGAGUGAAACUCAAAGGAAUUGACG